This 12046-nucleotide long non-coding RNA is filed under the name Xyrichtys novacula (pearly razorfish). Lineage: Eukaryota; Metazoa; Chordata; Actinopteri; Labriformes; Labridae. The record is from RNAcentral.
AAAGGUCACGACACAGUCUCAGCUGCAGCAGAAAGGACUGAGAGGCAGAAAGAUCUGGAGGAGAGUCGAGAAAACAUCCAGCAGAGAAUCCAGGACAGAGAAGAAGAUGUGAAGCUGCUCCAACAGGAGGUGGAGGCUAUCAACGGCUCUGCUGAUAAAGCUGUGGACCACAGCCAGGAGAUCUUCAGCCAGCUGAUCCGUCUGAUGGAGAAACGCCGCUCUGAGGUGGAGCAGCAGGUCAGAUCCCAGCAGGAACGUGAAGUGAGUCGAGUCAAAGAGCUUCAGGAGAAGAUGGAGCAGGAGAUCACUGAGCUGAAGAGGAAAGACGCUGAUCUGCAGAAGCUCUCACUCACAGAGGACCACAACCAGUUUCUGCACAGCUACCCCUCACUGUCAGAACCGGGUCAACCUGCAGACUCAUCCAGAAUCAACAUCCGACCUCUGAGAUACUUUGAGGAGGUGACAGCAGCUGUGUCAGAGCUCAGAGAGAAACUCCAGGAUCUUCUGACAGAGACGUGGACAAACGUCUCACAGGCCGUGACUGAAGUGGAUGUUUUACUGUUAGAACCACCAGGACCAGCAGAACCCAAGACCAGAGCUGGUUUCUUAAGAUAUUCACAAAGAAUCACACUGGAUCCAAACACAGCGAACAGACGACUGAGAUUAUCUGAUGGAAACAGAAGAGCAACAAAGACAGAAGAAGAAGAAGAAGAAGAGUCUUAUCCUGAUCAUCCAGACAGAUUCACUUAUUAUCCUCAGGUCCUGAGUAGAGAGAGUCUGACUGGACGUUGUUACUGGGAGGUGGACUGGAGAGGGACCUGGGUUGGUGUAGCAGUCGCAUACAAGACUAUCAGGAGAGACGGGUGGUCAGAGGAUUGUUACUUUGGAGGAAAUGACAAAUCUUGGAGGUUAGAGUGUGAUAAAGACAGGUAUAGAUUUGGUCACAACAAAGUCUUCACUGAUGUCUCAGGUCCUCAGUCCUCCAGAGUAGGAGUGUACCUGGAUCACAGCGCAGGUAUUCUGUCCUUCUACAGCGUCUCUAAAACCAUGACUCUCCUCCACAGAGUCCAGACCACAUUCACUGAACCUCUACAUGCUGGACUGAAGUUUGACUGGUCUGUUGGAGCCUCUGCUGGGUUUAUUAAACUGAAAUAAAGAGAAUUUUGAGUCCAUCAGACCAAAAUCAUGGACUGAGAUCCUUGAACUCUUGAAAUGUUCUGGUUUGUAAAUGUUUGUGGAUCAGUCUCACCAAAAACUCUGGGUUUAGUUCUUCAUUUCAGCUUUUUGAUUCUUUUCUAAAGAUGCUGAUUUGGUCGCAGCUUUAAGGACAGUGAUUGUGGAGAACUUUGAUUGUUUGUAUUUCUCAUGUUGAAAAAUCUUCAUACAGUUUGAUAUCAACAACAUCAAGAUGAUGGUUUGUUCAAAUCACCUUCAGUUGGUGCAGAUGUUGAAGGUCUGAGACUUUAGAAAAAAGUGAGGUCAAAAUCACAGAAAAAGGACGACCUUAUUUCCUGUCCCAAAUCCAAGCGUCUAAAGUCUUUCCAGUCGUCCCCAAAAACUCUUCAGAUGAUCUGUUUCUUUCUCUGUUUGCUGAAUAUUUGUGUUCAUGUGAUCGAUGGAUAUUUCUGUCUGCUUCUGUUGGAUCAGUGUGUUUGUAAAGACAUCUAGAAUCAGACUUUGGACAGAUCUACAUGUUGUUAUGAGCUUUUCAAUCACUCUAAUAAUAAUAAUCACAUUUAUUAGUCCGACUGUUUGGAUGUUUCUGACUCAGCUCAGAUUGUGGUCAAGUCUCUGAUUGUGGGUAAAAAAAUCAUAAAAAUCCUCAAACUGAGUCACUGAAAUCACCUCGUCUGUUUGUCUUUAUUGUGUCUGUUUCUGCUGGAUGUCAUGUUACCGCUCCGUCUGGGUCAUGGAUCCAUGUGGUCUUACAUGUCCCAGAUGUGAGUCCUGCAGCUGGAUCAGGUUUUCUGUAGAGGACAAAGACAGGAGGAGGUUGUGUGUCUUUUUGAUUUGAUGUAACCAGACUAGUCCUGUUGAGAUCAUCAAUCUCUUUUUCAAGAAUGGCAGCAAAAAACAAACACACUCAGACUCACACAGAUCCACAUCAGCAACAAGAACUCAGUGUUCAUGUGACAGAGUCCAGCUGAUCUCUAGUCUAAGGAAAGAAGUCUGGUCCACGAGAAGAAAACCGACUUAAAGGUGAAGUAGACAGGAAUCUGUUAAAGAAGCAUCUUUUUAUUUUGUGGUUUUUAUACUCCCCGUUUCUGUCCGCUCUGUAGGUCGCCGAGGAGCUGAAGACCACUCCUUUGUCGUCAGUAGAUCUGGCUCUCAUGGUGACCACCUGUCUGGACCUCAGUCCGGCCACCUUCACCUGGACGGGGUCAUCAAACAAACACCUGGCACUGGGCAGCAGCUUCAGUUGGACCUGAGAGGACAUCUGCUCGUAGACGGAAAAGUACUUCAUUACAAAUUCACACACUGAGUUGAUCCAAAUAAAGACAUUUUAAUUUAUCAGUAAAAACAGCAAAAAAGUUGAAUGAAAGAAUGAAACUGAUUUCACUACAAAGUUUAAAGGGAUAUUUCAGUAUUUUUUGGGGGGUUGCCACAAUUUCUGCAGAUGGGACCAAGUCUGCAAUGUAGACUAACCCAAGCACCGGAUCCGUUUUUGAGGCGAAUUUCGUGGCGGAUUACUGACAGUAGGAAUCACGAGAACUCACAAGAACCCGCAGAUUCACAUGCAAUCACGUGAUAACGAGUUGUCUCUCUAAAGACAGACACAUAGACAUAUAAGCAGUAGAUUGUGUCCUUCCAGAGGAGGAAAUCUACUUCUAGACUUCUAGAAUCAGCAUCUCCUCAUCCAUGGUGUCAUCGGGGUGAAAUGACGUCUAAAAACCUUUCACUUGUUCGUCUCCGCCCGUUUGCAUGGUGUGAAAUACGAUCCUCCUGAAACACGGAGUGUUUUAUUUUGAAAAGAAGCCGGAUGUUUUAUUUUGUGUCUGUGCCCGACUUCCUUUCCAGCACGGGUUAAUCUGUGCUGAAUUUAUCCGCCAUGCUCCGGCGUCCAGAAAAAAUAGAACUCUUGUGAUCAGCUGAGGAGUCCGGCGAUCCGCAGAGGAACGGAAAGAAGUCGGUGUAAAUUGACACGUUAACUUGAAUGGUUACGAUCAGCUACGAUCGGGUUACCCCCAGUUUCCCCCGCGUCCAGAUCGGCUACAAAAGGUCAUAUCCUGCCUCACAAACAGACCCGCCUGGAAUUGGCAGCCGCUGUUCAGGACACGGUGGAAAUUUGGGGUAAGGCCUAGUCAGGACUUGCUGCCUCUUCCUUUUUCCUGUUUUUUCUUGUUUUGUUGCAGGUUGUUGGCAGGUGGGGUUUAGCCGGACCAGGGAGUUCCUGCCCCCACCCUCAUCAGACACUCUAUGUGGCAACAGGGUUCUGUUUGGUUUUUUUUGGCUUUGUCCUCCUUCGGACUUUGGUUUUACACCUGACAACAUGCUGCACACACACAUCUUUCUCUCACUUGUUUUUCUAAAAAUAAGAAAUGAGACUCACGUUGAGUUUAAGGGACGAUCCAAAUUCAAGCCUCUUCAGAUCCUGCGCUGAUGUCGUCAGUUUACAGGGCAGGGAUAAAGUCAAAGUCUACCAAUGACAGACUUUGGACCCCAAAAACAUCUCUUAGCCAAUAGGAAACUAGGGUUGGAUGAAGCACACGCCCUGUGGGAAAUGCAGGUAAUAAUCAUAUCGCAGGAAUAAUGGGGUAAUCUGAGUUUUCUAAACCUUCACCUGUUUAUUUUGGUAUUUCCCUCCUAAAUCGAUAAUCCUGCCACAACAUUUUUUUUCUCUGUAUAUUUUUGCCCAAACCAGAUGAAUUAUUAAUCCGAUCAGUCAUCCUCAUUUAGUUAAAUGCCAAACCAAACAGAUCCUGGUGCAGUCACUGACUUGUGUUCCCGAGAUAAGAUGAACCAACAUUUAGAAAUAGCUCUCCCACAUUCAGCUUCUUUUAUAACUGAUGAGACUGAAAAACUCAACUUCAAACACCGAGUUAGACCCCCCCUCCAGAGAUGAAUGUUGUCGACCGCUUCCUUCUCUAGUUAUACCAACUUUAGUAACGACCGCAGGAUAGAAAUACAGAGAGCCACGCCCCCAACCAAAACGCCACUCUAUAGCCACAAAUAAUGCUCAGAACAGCACCUAACUUCAUCAACAGGACAUAUAGGGUCACAGCCAUAGUACUAUAUUCAGAGUUGUUCUAACUCCUAAGAAAACAUAAACUUAAACUCUGGCCUGUAGUCUUUAAGCUGGGCCAAUAAACUUCUACUGCAGUAAAAUGAAAAGGUAAAGGUGUUUUUAUUAUUGAGCCGAAUUAUCAAUAAAAUCAUGAUUUUGUUAACAGGUAUGGAUUUAUGUGCUGUUGAGUUAAUAUAUUUGAACAAGAGCACAGUAAAGUUAAAUCAGCUAAUUUUCCAAUGAGGUUCUGUUACUAAACAGAACUACACCGUGUUCUACUGAGGUUAGUUCAAAUAGGGUCACAGCCAUAGUACUAGACACCAAACAUCUUUUUAACUUUAGCAAAGAGACUAAACACAACUCACCUACUCUCUUCCAGCAGCCACUUGUUUGUGGCGAGACCUCUGGCCAGUCCAUUACAGACUACAGCGGGGUGCCGUAGCUCAAGGAAGAACAUUUAUGAUCAUUUCUUCAUGGAAAUACAAUCAGACCAAAACGCUAUGACAGAAGAACUACUGCGUCUGAAAAUGAUUAAUAUGGUGAUUAUUACUUCAAGGAACUCAUCAUAAAUGUUAUGACUUUUACGCUGGAAUAUCCCUUUACCUGCUGUUUUCACUCUGCUGCAUAUUUUCACUGCGGUGUUCCUCAAGGAUCCAUUCUUGGUCCUUUUUCGUUCUCUUUACUUUUUUAAUAACGAUUUUUUUAAAGGUUGUGUUGUUUCAAACACUCACGAUGUUGAAGCUACGUUUGUCUGAGGUCUGUUCACAUUCACAGUUUUAAUCAUAGAAAACAUUAAAGUGGUUCACAGAGGCUUUGAGGGUGAGGAGGACUACAGCAGCAGAAGUGUGACGCUCUUCAUCAUUCCUGCAGUGAAGCUUCAAACUGGGACAAAGUGGUCCGGUCCAAAAUCACAUAAAAGAGAAGAAAUCAAAAAGUGUCUGUGAUAGAGAAGAACGAGCAGCUGAUCCUGGACUCAUGAAUCCUCCCUGAUGGAACCCUUUAGUUUUCAUAUGUGGGCUCUCGCAGUCCAGAACCAGGACCCCAGCAGAGUCAUGGAUUUUCCAGCAGGGAGCAGUGAUACUGUGUGUGUGUGUGUGAUAGUGGAGGCCCGCUGAGGCUGGUCUCAGUGAUUUGUUCGUCCUGCUGAACGAGUUUUUUCUGCCUGUCAUUAAAGCAGCCAGGCAGGGAGAAACAGUCUGUCACAAACCCCUCUGCGUCUGCUCCGAGUUCACCUCCGUCCGUCCGUCCGUCUGAGUCUGUCCCUGCUUUAACCGUAGGUGUCUAAUCGACGCCUUUAUGUAAAACAGCUCACUAAAGCCGAGACUUCAGAUAAAUCUCGAGCUGUAGUGCACAGACAGCACAAAAACACACACAGCUCUAGAUUCUCACUUUAUGUCUCACAAACACAAACAGCUCAGAGGUUUUUCUCCUUAUUACCUCCACAAACAAAACUGUCGAUUUAUUAUAAAUGUGGUAGCGGUCUCUGAUUUACAUAAACCAUUUCAUAACUAUGCAGAAUAAUAACAUCAUCAUCAUCAUCAUCAUGAUCAUCAUCAUCAUCAUCGUCACACAUCCUUCAGUGUAAGCAGAGAGGUCAGGUUUCAGCCUGAGGAAACAUCCUGAUCAAAUGUUGGUGAAAGUCGAGCUGCUUUUGUUGUUUGUUAAAGUUUAUUUACUUUAUUAAAAAAAGGAAUAUUGGGGUAAGAAAAGGUGAUAGGAUCAACAUGUCCUGGAGGUUCAACACUCAGUGUGUUUACAUGCACAGUUUAAUCAGACUAAGAUCAUCAUUUCUUUUUUUUUCUCUGAAUCAGACUUCUCUCCUCGUCCUCGUUUACAUGCAGCUGAGAAAAUCGAAUUAUUGACGUGAACGUGUCCUCCUCUCCAACACUAGGGGGCGAUAUGGGUCUUUUCAGCGGCGCUGUUUCCGACCCCAUACAACCGUCAACAACAACAGCAGGUCAGUGUCAGACGUCAGAAGUGUCUACAACUGCUGCUGGGCAUUUUGGAGAAACAAGAAGAUGGAGCCCUAACCUUAAACCCAUCAUUACAGAACAUUAUCGCAAUUCUGAAUCUCCCAAACCUAAUCCUAAACCUAAACCUAACCCGAGCCCUAACCCUUAUCCUAACCCUAACCCUAACCCUCAUCCCAAUCCUAAUCCCAAACCCAAACCUUUACAGUUAUCCUAGCCCUCAUCCUAAUCUUAACCCUAAUCCUAAUCCUAACCCCAACCCUAAUCCUUACCUUAAACCUAACCCGAGCCCUAACCCUCAUCCUAAUCCUAACCCUAACCCUCAUCCUAAUUGUUACCCUCAUCCUAAUCCUAACCCUAAUCUUAACCCUAACCCUCAUCCUAACCCUAACCCUCAUCCUAACCCUCAUCCUAAUCCUAACCCUUAUCCUAAUCCUAACCCUAAACCUAACCCUAAUCUUAACCCUAACCCUCAUCCUAACCCUAACCCUAAACCCAAACCUUUACCCUUAUUCUAACCCUUGUCCUAAUCCUAACCCUAACCCUCAUCCUAAUCCUAACCCUAAUCUUAACCCUAACCCUAAUCCUAACCCUAAUCUUAACUCUAAUCCUAAUCCUAACCCCAACCCUAAUCCUUACCUUAAACCUAACCCUAAUCCUAACUGUAAUCCUAACUCUAACCCUAACCCUAAACCUAACCCUAAUCCUAACCCUAAUCCAACAGACGCUGACGUUUCACAGCCAUCAGGAAUAACCAAUCAGAGCCCAGCACUUCUAGCCAAUCAGAGGAGAAGGAGGCGGGACCUUCCCCUCCCAUCCUUUGAAAAGAACUAUCAAGUCCAGGACCUCAGUCAGACUGAGUCUUAAAGGUCCGGCUGUUGUUUCAGUUAAACUCCAAACUAAAGUUCCUGAGUUUAAUGAACAGAACCAACCCGUCACCAAAGAAGUCCAGACUGAAGUGUCUUCAGACCCAGGCUGCCCCUCUGGCCUCAGACCUGGUCCACCUCCCAGACCUGUGUCGGCCCCCCGGCUCCACCUGCCAAUCACCUUCAGCUCCGGCCCACACGCCGCUCUCUUUUUCACCCCGGGCAGAAAAACCAAUUAGCGUCUCCGACAGUCGUCUGCAGAGCCUCAGCUCGCUUUAUUUCCCGCUCCCCGUGACCACGAAACAAUCUGGUCUGCUGACCCGUGUUAGCUCAGGUCAGGCGGAGGAUAAACGCCGCAGGAGAUCGCCGUGUUGUAGAGAUUCAUUCGUCCCCCGGCUGUCCAGACCACAUCUUGUUCGUCCUUGUGUUUGUGUCCUGAAAGAGCGUCUCACAUUCUCAUUUCCACACAUGAGGAGUCUCUCAGCGGACUCCAGCCGAGUCAGAGCGAUCCUCCUCCGCCUCCGUCUGAAACUUUUAAUUUCUCCGAGCAGCGUGUGUCGCUCUGAUUUGCAUAUGAAAUCUGUUUCAUGGUCCUCUGAUGAGACAUUCAGCUCUGAAGUUUUAAAACACUGCCUCACACUUCCAUCUGGCGAGCAUGUGUCUGCCGAGCGUCGCCGCAGUGUGAUGUGGGAACAAGCUAAUUAGGAGUGAGGCCCAAACGAGCGUCUGAGAAGUUAGAGAAGAGCGAGAAGAAGAAGAAGAAGAACCAACAGGUCCUUCCUCACAAACAAACGCUCAAGUAAAAUCUGUCAAUGAGAAACUAAAGUGGCUCCAGGAUUUUCUAGGUUUUCUGAAGACUUGAGUAAACCUGCUCUCCUUUCAGCGAUGGCCUCUGAACGACGAAGACACAGAAACAGCCUGAAAAAGGAGAAAGAGAGAGAGAGAGAGAGAGAGAGAGAGAGAGAGAGAGAGAGAGAGAGAGAGAGACAAAAGCUGAGAUGUUUUUAUGAAUCACAGGAGCUGCUCCUUCAGAGGAAGUCCUUGAGGUGGAGUCAGAAACUGAAGACGGUUUCUCUCUCACCAGCUCUCUCUUCAUUAGCUCCUCUUCAUCUCAGAUCUCAUUCAGCAUUUACUUUCUUCCUCUUUCUUCCUCUUUCUUCCUCUUUCUCUCACGGCCUUGACCACCAACCAGCUUCAAAGAUCAAAUUCAGAGGUUUAAAAAUGUUGAUUUCUCUUUUAGAUCCGUCUUCCAUCCUGAUGGAGAGGUCAGAGGACUGGGUAUGAAAGAGUGAAGGUCUGUUCAAUCACAGACAUUUUCUAAUGAUUCUUAAAAACUCGAUUUAAAAUGUUUCCUGGAGGUACAGACUUCUUCUAAAAUGACUCUUAAGUACUUUAUGUCGUGAUAUGUUCUGGUGUAUUUUGUGUUCCUGUUCCCCUGUAGUCCCGUCUUGUGAGUUCUCAGUUAGACUCUGUUCUCUGUUUUAUUCUUUAGAUAGGUUUUCAGUGUUUAUUUCCUGUUUUAUUUUGUAGGAGUUGAUUCCUUGUGUUUCUAGUCUGGUUUCACUUCCCUAGUUUUCCCUCCUUUGUUUAUCACUCAUCAGUCUCACCUGUGUGAGUCUCAUGAGUGGUUAACGUGUGUCAGUUGCUGCGUCCGAACUGCCCGCUCGGAUACUACAUGCUACUGCUACGUGCUACUGCUAGAUCCUACUUCUACAUACUAAAAACGUUGGCCCAAUUCGGACACACUAGACGAGCGGUGGGGAAAGACGACCCCCGCAGGCAGAGAGUAGGUACUGCGCCCGUGCAGACAGUGGUAACUGAAGCCCCUCAUCUGCGGGCCUGGCUGUAGUACUGCAGCUGUGCAGUUUAAUGAUGGAAUAAGUGAGCUUUACCUCCAUGAUGUCGCCACUUGCUCAUAAAAUGAUUACUUGGGCAAAUAUGACACCAUGACAUGACAAAGAGAUACAACCGCACAUUUUUUAGGACAGUGUGUGAAGUUACAUGAAACUUACAUCUGUACUGCUUCGGUCCCGCCUGCUGCUGCUGCUGCUCCGACAUGGUGCGCGCUGCUGUGGCCAGCCGGCGUUCGCGACACUUUUAAAUAGGCAGAGCAGCUGGUGGCGCUAGCAUCACAUGCGCUUCUACAACUUUUAAGAGGACGAAGAAGAAGCCCGCGGUGCAUUUUGGGUCAGUAGCAUGCCCGUAGGAUGCACCGAGACCAACCUACAAUGUGGGCGUGUCUAGCAUCUGAAGUAGUAUCUGAAGUAGCAUGCUACUCGCUCCGGUGGCCAAUUCGGACAUGCUAGAUACUACUUCGACUACUACUUCGACUACUACUCGGCAAUUCGGACGCAGCUAUUGAUAUGUCCGUCUCACCUGUUGCUCGUUGUGUGUGUGUGUCUGUUCCACGUGUUCCCUGAUCUUUGCGUCCCUUGUCUUCUUGUGUCUGUGGCUGUUUUUUUUUUUUUUUUUUUUUUUUUGGACAUUUUAAAAGUUUUUGUUGUUUUUUUUAUUUUAUUAUUUUUUUUUUAAAUAAAUCCUCUUUUAGGUCCUGUUUGCACGUUUGAUGAUGUGGUGUUUUCAUAAACGAUUAAUGUACUUAUUUAUGUAAUGUAAUGUAAUGUAUUAAUGUACUUACACUAUUUAUGUUCUCUCUUAUUUUUUUAUUUUAUGUUAAUAUAAUGUAAAUAUUCUGGAGACUGACUCUUUAAUUAGGGAGAGGAGAAAGGCUUAGGUUGACUCGUACUCCUUUUUGGAUAUGUUGGGUUCACAUUACUAUUAUUGGUAUUUUUUAUUAAUUAAUUAUUUUUUCAUUUGUCCUUUUUUUGCCUUUAUUAUUGUUCUUGUUAUUUUGAAUAUUCUCACUAAUUUUUGUUUGUUUGUUUUCAGUUUACUCUCUUGUAUUGCACGCACAUGUUCGAAAAAACUAAACUAAACUAAUAUGUUAAUUUUAAUUUUUUUUUUAAAGGUUUUUAUGUUUUUUUUUUGCCAUGAAAUUCCCUGAUUUUUUUUAAUGGGAAAAACACAGAAUAUGGUAUAUUUCCAAGAAUGAGGUGCAAAGUUAAAUAUUUUUGAUAAAGAAAUAAAAGCCUUAACCAUGUAAAUAAUUGAUACAAAUAUUGAUUUUAAUGCAUUAUAAUUUUUGGCAGAAUUACAUAUUUUUAUUUCAAAUCGCUCGGCCCUCCUUCAAAAUAAAAGCGUGUUCAAACGAUCCUGAUGGAGUUGAAGCUAAAACACGUCCUGCAGUGCAGCAUCUACACCGAGCACAGGAAACAUCUAUACUGAUCUGGUGUAGAGACAGAAACUGCAGGAGGAAACCAAAAAUAAAAGCUGGAACUUCUUCACACCAUCAGAGGAUAUAAGAGGAUGAAGUGGUAACAUCAGACAGCAGGGGGCAGCAGCACGCCACCGCAGUGUCUGAAAAGAAACAGAAGAAUCCACAGAGCUGAGUCACAUCUGUGGGAUUUAUUUCUGGACCUAAAAGGUAAACAUACUGAACUGAUGAUGUGAAAUUAAAUCAGAUAUAACGAGAAUAUUCACUCAUGUCAGUGUUAGGGUUUUAGUUCUUAUUGUGUUUUUAUUUUUCAGGAGGUCGGAGCUUCGACAGAUUUCAGUUUGUCGUUUCAACAAUCCUGUUCAAACCUCGAUCAGGUCCAGAGAGGAGAAACUGUUCAGCUCACUUCACAAGAAUCCAGAUCCUGUCCCGGUAAAGGAAAGAGCAGAGACCUGAUCCUGGAGGAGGUUUCACAACGAGGAGGAAACUGUCAGAUGGCCUCGGGCUCGUCGAUAUGUAUUUUUAAAACUUGGAGUGAAAGUGUCUCUGAGUGGGUGUGGAGUCAUGUGUACUGCAGCAGGUCUGUCACUAUUGAUUUAAAGGUCUGACUGAAACAGAUCAAUAAUUCUCAACUUGGAGUAUCUGGUUCUGAAACCGGUCUCUGAGUCCGUGAAGCUGGACUCCCUUCACCCACUGAAAAUACAGUUUUUGUAUCAAAACUGAAAAAUCACAUUAAUUAAAUCUUUUUUAUAAACCAUUUCCCUCUCUCCGGUGGAAACCAGUCCACCUCUGCUUCAGGGCCUGUGUCCACUGACAGCUUCUGUUUGUAGAGUCAGGGCCUGUCUUCAGGUGCAGAUCUUAGUUUUGUUCUUUCCACCGGAUUCACAGACUCACUUCCUGUCCUGACUUCACUUAAAUCAGUAAAAGUGCUGCUGACGACUUUAGUGGCCCAGGUGAGCAGCAGAAAAACUGCUGUCAGUGGACACAGGCCCUUACACUGACCAGUUUUUGUCUGACUUUAAUCAGCAGAGACACCCUCCCCCACAGGAAAUACCUCACAUUUAAUUUACCACAAUAAAAUCAACGUUAUCAUGUCAUCUCUUUUUCUUAAUCCACGUUCGGGAGUGUUUGUAGAAAAACCUUCAGCUGCUGCUGUGAGAGCAAAUAAAUCUGAGCAGCUUGAAGUGAUCCUGAUCAAUUCAGCUAAGACCCAAUUUUCAGUCCGGGUAAACAUGCCGAGCUCAGGAGAUCGGAAACGAGCGAUUAGAUUACUCUGAAAUUUAAUUUGGUUUUCAAAAGGCGAGACUUGAGACGAGUUAUUGGGACGUUUACCGGUUGAUAACUGAGUGUUUGAAAGAUCAUUCGGACUUUUAUUUCUCUAAUAAUAAAAAGACUGAAAUACUGAUGAGAAAACUUUUACACUUUAAAAUACGACGAUCAUUUUAAAACUGAAAUAAACAAAACUUAAAUCUUUGCAAUCAGCGUGAGCUCGAUGUGGGUAAGCUAACUCCAAAAAUGUGAGGAUAAAGAGACUUACCCGGGAUCCAGCGAUCGUGUUCAGACGGUGUUUUUUUCCUGCUUAAAUAAACGUCCGAAUUUCCUCGUUUACAGUCUGGGUCCUGCUUCAGAAGUUUCCGAUCAGAGUCUGAAAUCAUCAAACAUUCAGCAGGUGCUUCUUCACCAGAGUCAGGUCUGUGGUUCUUCUGGAGAG